UAGCAUAUCAAUAAGCGGAGGAAAAGAAACCAACAGGGAUUGCCCCAGUAACGGCGAGUGAAGCGGCAACAGCUCAAAUUUGAAAUCUGGCCCCAGGCCCGAGUUGUAAUUUGCAGAGGAUGCUUUUGGCGCGGUGCCUUCCGAGUUCCCUGGAACGGGACGCCAUAGAGGGUGAGAGCCCCGUACGGUUGGACACCAAGCCUUUGUAAAGCUCCUUCGACGAGUCGAGUAGUUUGGGAAUGCUGCUCUAAAUGGGAGGUACAUUUCUUCUAAAGCUAAAUAUUGGCCAGAGACCGAUAGCGCACAAGUAGAGUGAUCGAAAGAUGAAAAGCACUUUGAAAAGAGGGUUAAACAGCACGUGAAAUUGUUAAAAGGGAAGCGCUUGUGACCAGACUUGCGUCCGGUGAAUCACCCAGCUCUCGCGGCUGGGGCACUUCGCCGGCACAGGCCAGCAUCAGCUUGCCGUCGGGGACAAAAGCUUCAGGAACGUGGCUCCUCUCGGGGAGUGUUAUAGCCUGUUGCAUAAUACCCUUCGGCGGGCUGAGGUACGCGCUCCGCAAGGAUGCUGGCGUAAUGGUCAUCAGCGACCCGUCUUGAAACACGGACCAAGGAGUCAACCUUAUGUGCGAGUGUUUGGGUGUUAAACCCCUACGCGUAAUGAAAGUGAACGCAGGUGAGAGCUUCGGCGCAUCAUCGACCGAUCCUGAUGUUCUCGGAUGGAUUUGAGUAAGAGCAUAUAGGGUUGGACCCGAAAGAAGGUGAACUAUGCGUGUGUAGGGUGAAGCCAGAGGAAACUCUGGUGGAGGCUCGCAGCGGUUCUGACGUGCAAAUCGAUCGUCAAACAUGCGCAUGGGGGCGAAAGACUAAUCGAACCUUCUAGUAGCUGGUUUCCGC
Molecule: ribosomal RNA, 894 nt
Filed under: Colletotrichum godetiae
Lineage: Eukaryota; Fungi; Ascomycota; Sordariomycetes; Glomerellales; Glomerellaceae
Description: LSU rRNA
Rfam family: Eukaryotic large subunit ribosomal RNA
Source: RNAcentral